RNAcentral lists this small nuclear RNA (190 nucleotides) under Ixodes scapularis (black-legged tick). Its description in RNAcentral is "U2 spliceosomal RNA". It matches the Rfam family "U2 spliceosomal RNA". From Rfam's summary of the family: U2 is a small nuclear RNA (snRNA) component of the spliceosome (involved in pre-mRNA splicing). Complementary binding between U2 snRNA (in an area lying towards the 5' end but 3' to hairpin I) and the branchpoint sequence (BPS) of the intron results the bulging out of an unpaired adenosine, on the BPS, which initiates a nucleophilic attack at the intronic 5' splice site, thus starting the first of two transesterification reactions that mediate splicing. Lineage: Eukaryota; Metazoa; Arthropoda; Arachnida; Ixodida; Ixodidae. The record is from RNAcentral.
AUCGCUUCUCGGCCUUUUGGCUAAGAUCAAAGUGUAGUAUCUGUCUUAUCAGCUUAAUAUCUGAUACGGGUCCUAUUUGGACCCAGAUAUUAAUCUUAUUUUUGGCCAUGCGGCGUAGUGCUUGCGGUUUACCUCACCUAUGCCACGGGUUGGCCCGGUAUUGACUGCCUCCGGGAUCGGCCCCACCCCC